UACGUAGGGGGCAAGCGUUGUCCGGAAUCAUUGGGCGUAAAGCGCGUGUAGGCGGCUCGGUAAGUCUGCUGUGAAAGUCCAGGACUCAACCCUGGGAUGCCGGUGGAUACUGUCGAGCUCGAGUCCGGAAGAGGCGAGUGGAAUUCCUGGUGUAGCGGUGAAAUGCGCAGAUAUCAGGAGGAACACCGAUGGCGAAGGCAGCUCGCUGGGACGUGACUGACGCUGAGACGCGAAAGCGUGGGGAGCAAACAGG
RNAcentral lists this ribosomal RNA (253 nucleotides) under uncultured bacterium. RNAcentral describes it as "partial 16S ribosomal RNA". It matches the Rfam family "Bacterial small subunit ribosomal RNA", at positions 524 to 776 of the family's 1533-position model. The record is from RNAcentral.